UGGGGAAUAUUGCACAAUGGGCGCAAGCCUGAUGCAGCCAUGCCGCGUGUAUGAAGAAGGCCUUCGGGUUGUAAAGUACUUUCAGUCGGGAGGAAGGUGGUAAGGUUAAUAACCUUAUCAAUUGACGUUACCGACAGAAGAAGCACCGGCUAACUCCGUGCCAGCAGCCGCGGUAAUACGGAGGGUGCAAGCGUUUAUCGGAAUUACUGGGCGUAAAGCGCACGCAGGCGGUUGAUUGAGUCAGAUGUGAAAUCCCCGGGCUUAACCCGGGAAUUGCAUCUGAUACUGGUCAGCUAGAGUCUUGUAGAGGGGGGUAGAAUUCCAUGUGUAGCGGUGAAAUGCGUAGAGAUGUGGAGGAAUACCGGUGGCGAAGGCGGCCCCCUGGACAAAGACUGACGCUCAGGUGCGAAAGCGUGGGGAGCAAACAGG
RNAcentral lists this ribosomal RNA (429 nucleotides) under Chloroflexota bacterium. RNAcentral describes it as "Chloroflexi bacterium partial 16S ribosomal RNA". It matches the Rfam family "Bacterial small subunit ribosomal RNA", at positions 355 to 776 of the family's 1533-position model. The record is from RNAcentral. Lineage: Bacteria; Bacillati; Chloroflexota.